RNAcentral lists this long non-coding RNA (1716 nucleotides) under Equus asinus (donkey). RNAcentral's name for it is "lncRNA (ENSEASG00005033449.1)". The record is from RNAcentral. Lineage: Eukaryota; Metazoa; Chordata; Mammalia; Perissodactyla; Equidae.
UUUAGGACAUGUGAUAUGUGAAUUUAUGAGACUAUAGAACAAAACUAGAACCACAGCUUAACAGCUAAUGACAUGCCUUUAUUGAACAGAAUUAACAGGAAACCUCCAAGAACGUGUGGCAGCUCUGCUUCUGAGGCGUCUUGAGGACCCACGGCUAACACUGAGCACCUCCACGUGCGGCACGGUGGUGGGCUUCCACAGGCAGUCCUUAGCAUCUCUCUGUGUUGUCUUAUUAGCCGGACUUCACAGACGAAAACGAGGCCCAAAGGGGGGAAGUCACAUGUCCGGGGUCACGCAGCUACUUCAGUCUGCCUCCAGAGCCCGUUCCCCCACAUUAGUCAGAAACCAUUCCCCACAGAGACUCUCCUUCGGUCGCAGUGGAAGGGUGUGAGUUUCUGCUACACACAUUGCCUGCAUCCUUUUAAUUCAUAAUCCUUUUGUUCAGUGGCUUAGCGAGCACUUAGUCUGUGCCAAGUACAGGAAACAGAUCGGUAAGCCUCCUCCCCUCAGAGCACUUGAGCGUAAGGAACAGAUGUGUAACGAAGUGGCGCACAGGCCCCACAUCACAGAGACGUGAAAGAAUGCUAAGGAAAGUACGGGGGAAUUAUUUGAGGGGCAUAUGGGAAUGUUUUGACUUGCAUUUUUCACAGGAUAUUUUAUUUGCACAUUUUGUAUUAUAUAUGCCUCGUUUAGCACCAGAAUCUAAGAGAGAGAAUAUUAGCCCCAUUUUACAGAGGAAAAUAGAAACAGAAAAGGCAAGCUUGGCCUAGUGGAGCAGACCUGGGACCCAGGAGUGUGGCUCCAAGGCCAGGACCAUCGGCCCUGCAGAGCAGCCACCAUCAAGGCAACUCCUUUGUGACCAGAUGUUUGCUUGGUGACACGUGAUCAGGCCCAAGGAAUGCUCCUUGUUCCACGACAGGACAGGACUUUCUCUGUUCCCACAUCCUUCUUCUUGCCAUGGCUUCAGCAAGUUGACCACAGUCAACGAUUGUGGGAGAUGAGGUAACAGACCAAGUUUUGGCUUUAUUGAGACUAUUGGUCUGAUGGGCCUAGAUUUCCUCAGUCACCCACUGCUUUUUAAAUAAAAAAUAUAAUAAGACAAUAAAAGUUGUGAAGUUUGAAAAAAAUUGUUAAAGCUAAAAAAUCACCUAUACUAUGCAGAUGUUAAAAAGAAUGAGAUAGAUCUAUACAGAGAGGGAACAAUUUCCAAAACAUAUCGAGAUAUAUAAAUGUGCUUGUGAAUACCCAGUUUCUCUCUGAAGAUACACACAAGAAACUGGACACAGCAGUUCCCUCUGGGGAGCAUACAUACAUAUUUUUUUCCAUAUUGUGCAUAUUAUUACUUUGUAUAUAUGCUUUAAAAAAAAAUAUUCCUGAAACAUUUCCCCCCUUAUUAGAUAGCCUCCCUUGAUUUUGUGUGUUCGCGUCCGUUGUGUUCUAGUAUUGUUAUGGGGAUGUGCUAUAAUUAACCAACCCCUAUUGCUUCGCGUUUAAACUUCAUUUUAUGGGAUAAGUUUGCAGUGCACAAUGUAGCACAUACUUCUGAUGUGGGCUAGAGGCCUCACAGCACGUUGGCAGAUCAAAGCGGGUAUGCAUAUGCUCUUAAACUUCUUUCCAUUUUGCUUCUUAGGCGGGUCCCUUCAGCAAGGUCAUCUUGCCCAGGGGUGUGCAUUUUACUUGUUUCCCAUAGUCUUUUUUUUUUUUUUUUAAUUUUUU